CCUACGGGAGGCAGCAGUGGGGAAUCUUCCGCAAUGGGCGCAAGCCUGACGGAGCAACGCCGCGUGAGUGAAGAAGGUCUUCGGAUCGUAAAGCUCUGUUGAUGGGGACGAACGUACGGAGUGCGAAUAGUGCUCUGUAAUGACGGUACCUAUCGAGGAAGCCACGGCUAACUACGUGCCAGCAGCCGCGGUAAUACGUAGGUGGCGAGCGUUGUCCGGAAUCAUUGGGCGUAAAGGGAGCGCAGGCGGGCAUGUAAGUCUUUCUUAAAAGUUCGGGGCUCAACCCCGUGAUGGGAAAGAAACUACAUGUCUUGAGUACAGGAGAGGAAAGCGGAAUUCCCAGUGUAGCGGUGAAAUGCGUAGAUAUUGGGAGGAACACCAGUGGCGAAGGCGGCUUUCUGGACUGCAACUGACGCUGAGGCUCGAAAGCCAGGGGAGCGAACGGGAUUAGAUACCCCUGUAGUC
RNAcentral lists this ribosomal RNA (465 nucleotides) under uncultured Selenomonas sp. RNAcentral describes it as "bacterial SSU rRNA". It matches the Rfam family "Bacterial small subunit ribosomal RNA", at positions 338 to 795 of the family's 1533-position model. The record is from RNAcentral. Lineage: Bacteria; Bacillati; Bacillota; Negativicutes; Selenomonadales; Selenomonadaceae.